This 484-nucleotide ribosomal RNA is filed under the name uncultured bacterium. Its description in RNAcentral is "partial 16S ribosomal RNA". It matches the Rfam family "Bacterial small subunit ribosomal RNA", at positions 50 to 528 of the family's 1533-position model. The record is from RNAcentral.
UACACAUGCAAGUCGAACGGCAACACGGAGCUUGNNCUNNUGACGAGUGGCGAACGGGUGAGUAAUGCNUCGGAACGUGCCUAGUAGUGGGGGAUAACUACUCGAAAGAUGGGCUAAUACCGCAUGCNUUCUGAGGAAGAAAGUGGGGGACCUUCGGACCUCGCGCUAUUCGAGCGGCCGACGGCUGAUUAGGUAGUUGGUGAGGUAAAGGCUCACCUAGGCGACGAUCUGUAGCUGGUCUGAGAGGAUGAUCCGCCACACUGGGACUGAGACACGGCCCAGACUCCUACGGGAGGCAGCAGUGGGGAAUUUUGGACAAUGGGCGAAAGCCUGAUCCAGCCAUGCCGCGUGUCUGAAGAAGGCCUUCGGGUUGUAAAGGACUUUUGUCNGGAAGGAAAUNCNUNGGGCUAAUACCGNNGGGGGAUGACAGUACCUGAAGAAUAAGCACCGGCUAACUACGUGCCAGCAGCCGCNGGUAAUAAAA